Molecule: ribosomal RNA, 492 nt
Filed under: uncultured bacterium
Lineage: Bacteria
Description: partial 16S ribosomal RNA
Rfam family: Bacterial small subunit ribosomal RNA
Source: RNAcentral
AGUGAACGCUGGCGGUAGGCCUAACACAUGCAAGUCGAACGGCAGCACAGUAAGAGCUUGCUCUUACGGGUGGCGAGUGGCGGACGGGUGAGGAAUACAUCGGAAUCUACUUUUUCGUGGGGGAUAACGUAGGGAAACUUACGCUAAUACCGCAUACGACCUACGGGUGAAAGCAGGGGAUCUUCGGACCUUGCGCGAUUGAAUGAGCCGAUGUCGGAUUAGCUAGUUGGCGGGGUAAAGGCCCACCAAGGCGACGAUCCGUAGCUGGUCUGAGAGGAUGAUCAGCCACACUGGAACUGAGACACGGUCCAGACUCCUACGGGAGGCAGCAGUGGGGAAUAUUGGACAAUGGGCGCAAGCCUGAUCCAGCCAUAGCGCGUGGGUGAAGAAGGCCUUCGGGUUGUAAAGCCCUUUUGUUGGGAAAGAAAAGCAGCAGGUUAAUACCCCGCUGUUCUGACGGUACCCAAAGAAUAAGCACCGGCUAACUUCGUG